GACCGAGGGUGCAAACGUUGUUCGGAAUUACUGGGCGUAAAGCGUGUGUAGGCGGCUUUGCAAGUCGGAUGUGAAAGCCCGGGGCUCAACCUCGGAAGUGCACUCGAUACUGCAGAGCUAGAGUUUCGGAGAGGUUGGUGGAAUUCUCGGUGUAGAGGUGAAAUUCGUAGAUAUCGGGAGGAACACCAAUGGCGAAGGCAGCUCGCUGGGACGGUACUGACGCUGAGGCGCGAAAGCGUGGGGAGCAAACAGG
This 253-nucleotide ribosomal RNA is filed under the name uncultured bacterium. RNAcentral's name for it is "partial 16S ribosomal RNA". It matches the Rfam family "Bacterial small subunit ribosomal RNA", at positions 524 to 776 of the family's 1533-position model. The record is from RNAcentral.